Molecule: ribosomal RNA, 460 nt
Filed under: uncultured bacterium
Lineage: Bacteria
Description: partial 16S ribosomal RNA
Rfam family: Bacterial small subunit ribosomal RNA
Source: RNAcentral
CCUACGGGCGGCAGCAGUGAGGAAUAUUGGUCAAUGGACGGAAGUCUGAACCAGCCAUGCCGCGUGCAGGAAGACGGCUCUAUGAGUUGUAAACUGCUUUUAUACAAGGGUAAACCUGAAUACGUGUAUUCAGCUGAAAGUACUUUACGAAUAAGGAUCGGCUAACUCCGUGCCAGCAGCCGCGGUAAUACGGAGGAUCCAAGCGUUAUCCGGAUUUAUUGGGUUUAAAGGGUGCGUAGGUGGAUUGAUAAGUUAGAGGUGAAAUGUCGGGGCUCAACUCUGGAACUGCCUCUAAUACUGUUGACCUAGAGAGUAGAUGAGGUAGGCGGAAUGUAUGGUGUAGCGGUGAAAUGCUUAGAGAUCAUACAGAACACCGAUUGCGAAGGCAGCUUACCAAUCUAUCUCUGACGUUGAGGCACGAAAGCGUGGGUAGCAAACAGGAUUAGAUACCCGUGUAGUC